CUGGAGAUUCCUUUUAGACUACGACGCAGUUCCUGCUGUAGUCGUGCAGUUGGUGUACAACAUGGAGAAGAGGUUCCAGGAGAUUUUCAAUUUUAUGUCUAGGGGUGAAUUCCCUAAUUUAUAGUGAAUCUCAGAAAUGUGCUUUAAAAAGACAUAUGCAGAAGCUCAAACUGAAGGUCCCGAACAGAAGCACGAUCACUGUUUAAUGAAGUACACUCGGCUUCAAUUGGUGCACACACAGGCACUGUUAAAACCAGAUCCUCAAUGUACUCCAGAAAUUAUUGGGAUGGCAUGACAGUGGACAUUGACUGAUGGGUAUGUGAUGGUUUAUUUCUGCAUUUUGUCAAUAACUAAUUUUGGUCAGCUAUUUCAGAUCUUAUUAACCUGACCCGUUUCUCAUGACGAUUUGUUUUAAGGUCUGAAUGCGACGGAUGUCAGAG
Long non-coding RNA from Corythoichthys intestinalis (scribbled pipefish), 440 nucleotides. RefSeq lists it as uncharacterized. The transcript is spliced from 3 exons. Lineage: Eukaryota; Metazoa; Chordata; Actinopteri; Syngnathiformes; Syngnathidae. The record is from RefSeq and is a predicted model, not a curated record.